RNAcentral lists this long non-coding RNA (13361 nucleotides) under Malus domestica (apple). Its description in RNAcentral is "long non-coding RNA (MDOM_LNC014309)". Lineage: Eukaryota; Viridiplantae; Streptophyta; Magnoliopsida; Rosales; Rosaceae. The record is from RNAcentral.
CCACUAGGAUCUGAAUCCAUCCCAAGAGAGAAUGAUAUGAUAACCCCGCUCACUGUAGAUGCGGCGUAGAUAACAUCGUUUACGACAACAGCCCUCCCCACAAAAGAAGGAUAAGGCUUAGUACCAGUCAUAUCAUCAUCAACUGUAGGUACGUAAACUGGGUGCCAUGUUUCACUGGCAAUGUGAAAAAGCACGAACUCAGAUGGUCCAAAGUCAUACAAUGAAAUUAGAAUACAACCGUAACAAACAGUCUAGCCCAUAACCUCCACAUAGGAAGGUCCCGUUUUCUGACCAUAUUUUGGAAAAGGAUUGAGAGGCUCCCAAAUGUCCUUGGGAUUAUAACACUCAAACGAUGGAUUUGUUAUAAGGGGGAAGGAUGCUGGAUCAGUAAGAUGGUAAAGCUUGGAGGGGCUGCCGUACCUCACACCGUCCAAUAUAAUAUAAUCGGGGACUGGGACUGGGAACUCAGAUGAUUUUUUUGGAUCGAAGAACCAGUGAACAGGUUCAAGUGGCCUACAUGUUUCUCCUCCCAAAACUUCUCCUGCUUGGUUGAUUUUCAACUCAUAUAAGGCUGCUCUGAACGGGCGAGGAAUAAAGUUCAUCAGCAUUAACACAGAUGUUGUAGGGCUCUCCCCCUCCAUGGGCAGGCUGACCACAACAAUAUUACAGUCCAAGUUCAGAUAAAAUUUUCAAAUUUAACAAAAUAAAAUGCCUCUACUUUUAAUCAGUGGUUCCAAAUUCAAACAGAUUACUCUUCUAAAAUGGUGGCACUAGACAUAAUAGCUGACAUCAAACACUGUAUCGAAAUUUAUGAAUAAAAAUUCAAUUAGAUAAAACAAAAAUUAAAAAAUAAUGUAUAAAUCAAGCGACUGACCUUGUUGCUGUCUGGGAAGUCAUCUGAAAGAGAGUGGAAGAAAAUCCGAUCAGAAGUUCAACUGUGUUAGAAAGAAAUCGGAUGAAUCAGAGACGGGAGAGUGAUUGUAUCCAAUUCCAACAUUGCCUAGCCAACACCGCCUCGUCCUUGUAGGGUGCUCCAUACCUACCCUCUUCUUAUUUAGCUCGUCAAAUUCGAUGGAUUGGGUCCAUGAAAUUUCUUUGUUCCUAAUUCAUGUUUGUCUACUUGUUGCACCUUAUUUCACUUGUUACUAUACUCUCUCCUUUGUGUGAAAAUUCUCAAAUCAAAUACAGAACUCCCUCCUACUUGUGAACGUGCUCGUUGAUCUUUCUUCUUUUUAAACUGCAGUUAAUGGCAUUCAGUUCAUCACACAAGUUAAUGUAGCAAGACUGGACAAAGCUCGGUUUCAACUUUCGAGGUGAGGGUUUCUAUUCCUUUAGUUAUAUUCUGUAGAAUAUUGCAUCCACUAUGAGGAACUAGAAGCUAGGUGAACACAAAAUCAUUGAAAAAAUAACCAAACCAUUAAAACUAAAACAACACAUGAUACUCUUUCAGGGUAUGUAUGGAAUCCAAACAAUACCCUCAAGAGUUAAUAAGUCUUCACAAAUUCACCCGCUAUGAGAUGUUAGAAGCUAGGUUCACACAAAUUCACGAGAAAAAUAGACAAAUCAUUAAAACCAAAGAAACUCCCAAGAUUUUAAGUCUUUACAAAUUCACCUGCUAUGAGAAGCUAGGUGUACACGUAAAAUCGCUAGAACGGACAAACCAUAAAAACAACACCUAAUGCAUGUUUUGUUCAGAGUAUUUCCUCUACCUUCUUGAUCCUUAAGGUUGCAUGUAUACGACUCAGUAAACCGGGAAAGCACGUGUUUAUCUCCUCGUUGAUCUUGUCGAGCUCUUCAUCCUUGACGUAGUGGACAUAAACAUUUCGUAUUACUCGGAUCAAAUCCUCAACGCUAUUCCCAUUUAAUUUUUCUCAUUUCUCUUUUUGUGUAAAUUUUUUUGACUUAUCCAGAUAACCAUCUAUGACUAUCUUGGUGUCCCAAUUUCUGAAUUCUUCAAAAUCAAGGCCUCUAAUUUUCGUGUCAAAACAAGGACCAUUGAGCCUUGUUUUGUCUUCUUUGAUUGGUGAAAAUCAAAGUAACAUUUGAGCCUACUGAACUCACUCUUCAAAGUUGGGUGAUUGAUGAGCAUAGAGACAAACCUAUCAUAACUAGGAAACAGAUUAAGUUUUCAGGUAUAAGAAUAAUAUGCCAAAUAAUUUAAUUGAAUAACAAAUCGAUCGUUUGGAAGUGCUUUCAAAUGAAUAAAAGUGCUUUUAGAUAAAAUCUUUUCGGGUUCCAAAAACACUUGAAGUGCUUUUCCUGUAUUGUUUCCAAAAAAUUUCCACAAAAAGCGCUUUCGGUCAUUUUAAAAGCACUUCCAAACAAGCCUAAACUUGUUUACUUACUUCCACGAGUAAGCUUGCCCCACCAUUUGUGAAGCAAUUGAGAAAUUGUGUCCUAUCCACUAUCGUCAGUGGGAAUUUAUCAGUGAUAAAUUCACCCAAAUCUGACAAGUCUUGAAACCUUUGUGUAUGGCCGUCAUUCCCGCUCUUAAUGUUAAAAAUCAUCACAUCAUCGCCUAAGAUCACAUAGCUGGAUACUUUCUUUAAUUCCCUAUGAAUCUGAUCCUUGUUGUGCAUAUACUGUAUCGUCAUAAGUGUCUUCCUACACAAGUAAGCAACUUUAAUAAGUUCCACGUACACGUAUAGUCACACACACGCACACACAAAGAAACACAUGAACACUUACUAACGAGCAUUCUCCACCACAGGUCGGUGCAAUUGUUUCUGUUUGUCCACUGAUUGUAGGUGGAAAAUGUUCGUUAGUAAGCGUUCAUGUGUUUCUUUGUGCGUGCGUGCGUGUGACUAUACGUGUACGUGGAACUUAUUAAAGUUGCUUACUUGUGUAGAAAGACACUCAAGACAAUAUAAUAUAUGCACAACAAGGAUUAGAUUCGUGGGGAUUAAAGAAAGCAUCCAGUUAUGCGAUCUUAGGCGAUGAUGUGAUGAUUUUUAACAUUAAGGACAGGAAUGACAGCCACACGCAAAGGUUUCAAGACUUGUCAGAUUUUGACGAAUUUAUCAUUGAUAAAUUCCCACUGACGAUAGUGGAUAGGACACAAUUUCUCAAAUUGCUUCAAAAUGGUGGGCAGGCUUACUCGUGGGAGUAAGUAAACAAGUUUAGGCUUGUUUAGAAAUGCUUUUAAAAUGACCAAAAACGCUUUUUGUGGAAAUGUUUUUGGAAACAAUCUAGGAAAUUGCUUUUGGAACCCAAAAACAUUUUCUCUAAAAGCACUUUUAUUCAUUUGAAAACACUUCCAAAUGAUUGAUUAGUUGUUCAAUUAAAUUAUUUGGUAUAUUAUUCUUAUACCUGAAAACUUAAUUUGUUUCCUAGUUAUGACAGGUUGUCUCUAUACUCAUCGAUCACCCAACUUUGAAGAGUGAGUUCAACAAGCUCAAAUGUUACUUUGAUUUUCACCAAUCAAAGAAGCACAAAACAAGGCUCAAUGGUCCUUGUUUUGAUACGAAAAUUAAAGGCCCUGAUUUUGAAGAAUUCAGAAAUUGGGACACCAACAUAGUCAUAAAUGGUUAUCUGGACAAGUCAAAAAAAUUAACACAAAAAGAGAAACGAGAAAUUAAAUGGGAAUAGUGUUUAGGAUUUGAUCCGAGUAAUACAAAAUGUUUAUGUCCACUAUGUCAAGGAUGGAGAGCUCGACAAGAUCAACGAGGAGAUAAACAUGUGUUUUCCCGGUUUACUGAGUCGUAUACAUGCAACCUUAAGGAUCAAGAAAAUGUAGGAAAUACUCUGAACAAAGCAUGCAUCAGGAUUUGUUUUUAUGGUUUGUCCAUUGUUCUAGUGAUUUUAUGCGUACACCUAGCUUCUAGCUUCUCAUAGCAGGUGAAUUUGUAAAGACUUAAAAAUCUUGGGAGUUUCUUUGGAUUCAUGUAUACUUGAAAGAGUUAAAGGUGUUGUUUAGUUUUAAUGAUUUGUCUAUUUUUCCCUUUGUGUGAACCUAGCUUCAAGCGGGUGAAUUUGUGAAGACUUAUUAACUCUUGAGGGUAUUGUUUGGAUUCCAUGCAUACCUGAAAGAGUACCAGAUGCUGUUUUAGUUUAAUGGUUUGGCUAUUUUUUCAGUGAUUUUGUGUUCACCUAGCUUCUAGCUUCUCAUAGCGAAUGCAAUAUUCUACAGAAUGAAACUAAAGGAAUAGAAACCCUCACCUCGAAAGUUGAUAAGCAGACUGAUUGUAGGUGGAGAACAUUCAUUAAUGAGCAGGUUUUGAUGUGCCAAAGUCUGAAAGUAUGAUAUGAGAAGCUAAGAGCUAGGUGAACACAUAAAAUCACUGGAACAAUAAAUAAACCAUUAAAACAACACUUGGUUCAACAUACGAUGAAAUUAAACUUCAUAGCUCUAAGGAAUAUACUUCACCAUAAAGUUGGUGUUCUUAGCUCUAAGGAAUAAUAUACUUCAAAAGUGAUACAUGCAUUUCAUACAAAGUCCUCGACGUUCUUCAUCCUUAAGAUAGCACGUAGAUGACUCAAUAAACCUGGAAAAGACUCGUUUAUCUCCUUGUUAAUCCCGGUGAAGUUUCCAUCUUGGGUGUGGUGCACAUAAACGUUCGGUAUAAGCUUGAUUAAAUCUUCAAUGUCAUCUCAUCGAUAAGUUUUUUUUUUGUUUGUUUCUCUAUGUCGCUUUGCUUCGUCGAGAUAACCAUCUUCGACAAUCUUGGUGUCCCAAUCUUUUGAAUCUAUGAAAGUUAAGCUUUUAAUAACCUUGUGAAAGUGGGAAUCAUUGGGCCUUGUUCUAUGUCUUUUCGAUUGGUGAAUAUCGGCAAAAUAUUCAAGCCUUUUGAAGUCACUCAUCAGACUUGGAUGAUUUAUGAGCACAUUGAUAAAAUUCGCAUAACUAGGAGGGAAAAAAACAAUAAGUCUUUGGCAUAUAAGAAUAAUAGGCAAAUAGUUUUACUUAAUAAUAAAGUUGUUUACUUACUACAAUAAGCAAGCUGGUCCAUCAAUUUUGAAGCAAACAAGAAAUAGUGUCUUGUCCACUAUUGUCAUAGGCAACGUUUCGGAGAUAUACUCGCCAAAGUCUGAAAGAUCUUGGAAUUUUUGGCUAAUCUUUUGGCUCUUAUCCACACUUUUAAUGUUCAAUAUCUUCAAAUCUUCAAUAACAACCACGUAACUAAAAACUUUAUUUAAGCAUAACAAGAACCAAACACAUGGAAGCUUAAAUAAAGCUUCUAGUUACGUAGUUGUUGGUGAAGAUUUAAAGAUAUUGAACAUUAAAAGUGUGGUUGAGAGCCAAAAGAUUAGCCAAAAAUUCCAAGAUCUUUCAGACUUUGGCGAGUAUAUCUCCGAAACGUUGCCUAUGACAAUAGUGGACAAGACACUAUUUCUUGUUUGCUUCAAAAUUGAUGGACCAGCUUGCUUAUUGUAGUAAGUAAACAACUUUAUUAUUAAGUAAAACUAUUUGCCUAUAAUUCUUAUAUGCCAAAGACUUAUUGUUUUUUUCCCUCCUAGUUAUGCGAAUUUUAUCAAUGUGCUCAUAAAUCAUCCAAGUCUGAUGAGUGACUUCAAAAGGCUUGAAUAUUUUGCCGAUAUUCACCAAUCGAAAAGACAUAGAACAAGGCCCAAUGAUUCCCACUUUCACAAGGUUAUUAAAAGCUUAACUUUCAUAGAUUCAAAAGAUUGGGACACCAAGAUUGUCGAAGAUGGUUAUCUCGACGAAGCAAAGCGACAUAGAGAAACAAACAAAAAAAAAAACUUAUCGAUGAGAUGACAUUGAAGAUUUAAUCAAGCUUAUACCGAACGUUUAUGUGCACCACACCCAAGAUGGAAACUUCACCGGGAUUAACAAGGAGAUAAAAACGAGUCUUUUCCAGGUUUUAUUGAGUCAUCUACGUGCUAUCUUAAGGAUGAAGAACGUCGAGGACUUUGUAUGAAAUGCAUGUAUCACUUUUGAAGUAUAUUAUUCCUUAGAGCUAAGAACACCAACUUUAUGGUGAAGUAUAUUCCUUAGAGCUAUGAAGUUUAAUUUCAUCGUAUGUUGAACCAAGUGUUGUUUUAAUGGUUUAUUUAUUGUUCCAGUGAUUUUAUGUGUUCACCUAGCUCUUAGCUUCUCAUAUCAUACUUUCUGCUUCUUUAUAACAAGGUUAAGUGUAUCCUCUAGUUGCCUCUUCUUGUGUUUUCUUGCUUUGUCAAGAGCGCCAUUGGCCUCUGCGCCAAUUAAUGAAAUACUUCAGUGUGUAUGAACAAGAAAAGCAGCAUGAUCUGGCUGCAGAUCACAAGCAAACUAGUGAAAAUAAAAAAUCUAGACAAAUUGAAGCAACAAGUAAUAAAGUACAAACUGAAAUUUUCCGCCAAGAAAAAAUUCAUUCUUUUCUAAAUGAAUACUAUUCCAACCAUUCAAAUUUCAAACAAUCAACCUUCAAUAAAUUCGAGCAUAAAAAGGAUCCACUAUUAUACCAUAUAGAUAUAUAACAGCUAUAAAUUAUAACCAUUCUUUCUAUAAAUAAAAAAGGGUCUAUAACCUGAAGUCCAUAAGCAAACGGUGACUUACUCAUCAGUUCAAGCUUAUCAAUCUGCUCCUUCAGAGUCUCAGGAUCCUUCUUCAAGAUCCCCACCUUUCUCACCUUCUUUCGUUCUUUUUUAUUCUUGUCAAGAACACCAGAAGAAACAUACAAAGGGAGUUUUAUUUCGGAAUUGCAUAAUUCUAAGAAGAGGAGGCACAAGCAUACGCUAUCAAACGCACUUAACAGAAGGAAAAAAAAAACUAGCAAAGGUAAUACUGAUUAAGCAUCACAGUCAUGCAUCCGCUCUCCAAAUACGUCUGUGUGUGAACAUAUAUAUACCAUUCUCGACCUUUCGGCUAAGAUCAAAGUGUGUGAGGCUGUGCAAACUGCCUGAUAUAACUUUUCAAUGGUGAUACAAAAUAAUAGCAUCGGCCUUUCAUGAAGUUAAUGCUCUCAAGUCCAUUUACAAUAAGCCAAUGCCUGCUUCAGUAUGCUUACAUCUUUAUUUCAAAAACAACAAUGGUAAAAUGGUAAUGCAGAUGCCAAAUCCAAUCCCAAAUAAAAUUACUUUAAAAAAAAUUUACUAACUCUAAAUUGUAGUAAAAAUUUUGAAAUUUCAAUUGAAGUUUUACUUAUUCUAAUCUCAUGAGAAUUAGGGCAACACUGAAAUUAGACACAAUGGAGUACCAAAUUGCAAAAAUCGAACGAAUACAAACGAAAACGAACAACCCAGUUGCGAAUCGAGCACGGAAUCAAGGAAUUAACAGAAGAAAAAGAGCACAAAACGGCGUAGUUUUCAGAGAAGUAAUCGUUACCCGUUUCAAAUCCUUCUUCCGGAGCUCCUUCCGGUAAGCGUCCGUAGGGUUCAUCACCUUCCCUCCCUUCGUCGUCUUCAUAUUGAAUUCGCUUCAAAGCUUUUCUCUUUUUGCUGAUUCCAAUUCGGAUUUCAGGAAAUCUGCGGAAAACUCAAAUUACAGAGAGAAGCGUGGAUGAUGAAGGGAAAAUGUUUUGGGUAUUUUUUGCUCAAAAGAGUGAUGAAUGAAACCCCGACGAGAGCCCAAACCCCCACCUUGUUUUCUGUUGAUUUUCUCAGAGCAACUCCAGCGUUGCAAACCCGCAUAGGCAACUCACUAUUGAAUCUGUGAACAGUAAUUUUCUUUAAUAAACAGUAAUUAUUUUUUUGAUCUCCCCACUACACCGAAUAGUCAUGACAAUAGAUAAUAAAAUAUUAGUAUUUUUUCAUUUUAUAAAAUAAUAAAAAAUAAUUUUAUUUCAAAUUUCAAAUAUGAUUUUUAAUCGGUCUCAUUAUACAACGUAAAUUACAAUCAAAAGUAUUUGUGAAAAUAUAAAAUUGUGGUGUAAAGUGGAAGAUAAUGAUAAGAUAUUUAUAGAAAAAUUAAAUCUUUUUUAUUUUGAAAUUUUUUUCUGAUUUUUUAUUAAUUGUUUGCAUUUUUUUAAUUUUUUAUUAAUUUUAUAAAGUGGUUGACGUCAACCUUGCAUCAUGUGGCCUCAGGCUCUCGGGCCACCAAUUCAAGCUAGGUCUCCCCCGAGCCCAAUUGCACGCAUAGGCUGGAGCAGAUUGCUGGGGCUAUUGGGUCAUUUCUGUCGUCGGUCCAUCAGGCUCCAACUCCCACUGGAGUUGCUUUUAAACCAAACUCAACCCUGGGCUAAAUGCUAUUUUUUAGGUUUAUUCACCCCCUAACCCCAACCCAACUCAUGCUAAAUGUGUGGGUUAAAAGCUAAAACCUAAACAAAAGCCAGAUUUAGCUCAGGAUUAGUGGGGUUGGCCCACCAUAUAUGUGUUUUUUAUUUAGUUUUAUAUUUAUAAAUUCAUUGAAUCCAACGGUUAAGAUCUAAUUUGAUGAAAUUCAAAAGAAAAAAAAUAUUUAAAGGUCUAAAUUUAAAUCUAACGGCUAAAGUAAUAAAUAAAUGAAAUUUUUUAUGUGUUUCAUAUUUUUUUCAGUGUGUUUAACGAGCUUCAUGGUGUUAGAUUUUUCAAUAUUUGUUAGAAUCUAAAUAUUUUUAGAUUAAAAUGUUUAUAAAAUUAAAUUAGGAUAGUCUACAUAAUUUUUUUUCUUUUAAAAAAGUUACUUUAAAAAGAAAUUUAGCCUAAAUUUAUUUUUUAAUAAUCUUGGCUAAAAUUUUAGGCCAGAAGAGUUGGAGAAGAAAAGUUGUUUCUAGGCUAAAAUCUAAAUUUUAUGGGUUAAAAAUUUUAGGUUUUAGCCUAAGAGUUGGAGAUUGUCUUAAGAAUGCAGCUUUAUUUUUUUGUUUAUUAUUUUGUAAAACUAAAUUAGAGUUAAUUACAAAUUUGGUCUAGAUAUUUAGUGGUUUUUCCACUUUGGUCCAUAUUUUUUUGGUUUCAAGUUCGUCCCUGGAUUUUAAAAAAUGUGUCAAAAAUGCAUUUCACAGUGGUUUAAUUCAUCUCAUUUCUACUCUCUUAUUGGUUUUUAUUCUCUGAAUCUCUCUCUCAAAAAUGGAAAUAAAUAUGUUAAAUUAAAAAAUUAGAAUCAUUCUCAUAGAACUUGAAUUGCAACAUGUUGUAGGAGUUUGAUUAUUAUAAACUGAAAUUCAAAAUCAAUUUUCAUGCUCACUAUAAAUGGCUUAAGGACAAUGGUGAUGUCAGUGACGAAAAUUGACAAUUUAAUUCAAUUAUUUUGUAUAUUUGAACUGACCAUGGUGUACAAUAUUAGCCGACACGAAAUCAUCAUUUUUUUUUAUCAUUUUUGAACAAAUCAUAUCUUUUUAUUAAGCAUAUGUAUCAAUAUAAGUUUACGCACUUCUUUUCGCCUAUGCACUCCUUUCUUAAAUUAUGUCUCUUAAUUAUUCUUUAGUUAUUGAAUAUAAUAACAACUAAUAAAUAGAGUUUUAAUAAAAAGGGUUUGAAUCAAUUUUUUUUUCUUUUGAACAAGCGAUAUUAUCUACACUAAAAGGGUAGAUGGGUUGGCUAAGUCUCACAAUGACCUAGCAAAUUAGCAAUAAUGUGAUUCAAAUUCACUUUUUACAAAAAUCGAAUCUAAAACUUCUCACUUACAAGUUAAAGAAGAAUAUCAUUUGACUAUAGUACUAAGUGGUAAAUCAAAUUUUUCUUUAUUAAGAAUAUUUUAAAACUUCUGUUUACUGAAAAAAAUGACUUGAGAUUUAAUAAAAAUGACAAAAGUAUCAUACAACAUGCCAAAAAUAUUAAAACACAACAUCAAACUCUUUCUUAUAGCUCGUGCCCCUAACGGAGGUUAGCCCAAGUCCGUUAACACAUCUUCACUUAAUUUACGAAAUUGCCAUCGAGAUCCAAAAGACAAAUAAAACCAAAACUAAUUUAAUUUUCAUUCCCUGCUGUUCUUAACUUACAUCAAAUCCAAAUUUCCUUUUAAAACAACGUAUGAAAAUCAGCUCACGACAAUGAAAAUCGACACUAAAGCAAUAGGGGUUACGAACAUCGUCGUGUCGACGUUCUUAAUCACGUUCUCCAUCUAUUGCUUGUGGUCCAAGGCAAAGCAAUAAACAUCGACACGAUGAUGUUCGCAACCCAACAGAUUAAGAACGUGCAAGAGACAGAGUUGCACGACGAAAAUGUUAGCGCGACCCAUCGAAAACCCAGAAAAGCACAACAUUGUAUUAGAGGUCUUCCGAAUCACUUGGAUGCUUAUGCUGAGAGCCAGCCUAUUACUCUUCUUGGCAGCAGACUUGUAAACCUUGAGACGAGCCCGUCCAUCACACUUCUCGACACCAGACCUGGCAAGUUUGCGGCUCCCAUGUACAAACCUGACAAAAAAGACAGAAGCGCGAUGCUUGCUCCAGUUCUACCAGCUGCAAUAUAAGAACAACAAAGUAAAAUUUUGCAAGCAAAACAUGUAGAUUGUUUUCUGUACAUGACUUUAACUUGCACAAUGUUAACAUAUAACCCCUCGAGAUGCAGCAAACAGAAACGGAAAGUUUGUAUAUUUUUUUUUUUUUUUUUUUUUUUUUUGAAUCUAGUGUCUCCAGGUUUUUGACCCGACUACUCACUAGGCCACCCGCCUGACCCCACAACAUUUGGUAGGCAAGAAACUCUAGCAAUUGCUAGGUGGGUACCUUGAGAGGUGUCGAACCCCAGACCUCUUGGUAACAAACCAAGGGCCUGACCAUUAGACUAAACACUCUUAGGUAAAAAGUUUGUAUAUACAUACCCAGUUUCUUCUUUUUAUUCCUUUUCCUUCUCUUCUUGGCUGCACCCUGUGAAACUUCCGCCCUUUUCUUAUCCAGCUUGUCAGUCCCUUCUUUGGGUGCAAAAUCCUUGGCCAACUCAUCAGUCUCAUCUUCUUUAUGUAUAACAUCUUCCGUCGACUUGUCAGUCUCUUCUUCUUUGGAUCCAAAAUUCUUAGCCAACUUGUUAGUUUCUCCGGCAUUGGCUUCCAAAACCUCAGGCUUACUGAGACAUGAUAAAAUUACAAAUCAUUAUAACACAAUCAACAAGGUCUAUACUGCACUCUACGCAAACAAAAACGACAACGUCUAUACUUUUGACACAAUUUUUUUUUUUAAAUUUGCGCAGAACUCACGUUCUCUGGCCUCUGAAAGGCAUUUCAAGCAAACUAACUGCUUAUCGAUCAAAGUAGGGCAUGCAUAAACUUGAAGAAAUAACUACAUUUCUGGUUCCUAAUCUUUCCAAGUGCUUUUUCUGGAUAAGCUGCUGAGUUCUCCAUAUUCUCAAGUUACAAUUACUAAUCCUACCAUCCUCAAGCUUCCACAAAAAGUUAAACACAUCAAGAGUCUAUGUAACAUCCCACAUCGCUCAGGGGAGUGAUCCUUAAAUGUAUAUUCUCAUCCCUACCUAGCACAAGGUCUUUUGGGAGCUCACUGGCUUCGGGUUCCGUAGGAACUCAGAAGUUAAGCGAGAAGGAGGCCAGAGCACUCCCAGUGAGUUCCCAGAAACAAAACCGUGAGGGCGUGGUCAGGGCCCAAAGCGGAUAAUAUCGUGCUACGGUGGUGGAACGGGCCCAGGAUGUGGUGGAUCCGGGCCGGGAUGUGACAGUCUAAGACAAGUUAUGUCAAUCCUAUCAACCAUUUAAGCGACACCGUCAUCCUUUUUUUUCUUUUUAGUUCAGCAUAACUAACACCAGGGGCUCCGCAAAUGUAACAUGUCAGAUUAAUUUCAAAAUAUUCUAUAAUUCCGUUAAGAGAGUACAUUUGCAUACGUUGGCAUGGUUAACUGUUAACUUGACACCAGGCCUACAUAAGCUGCAAAACAAUUCUUAAUAAUGCGAUGCACAUCCAAGUAAAACAAAAUUGGAUGGAUUAUAUGUUCUGCAAGAUAAACAUGGAGUGUGUAUUCAGGGGAAAAAUGGAAAGUCCAUAGAGAGAGAGAGAGAGAGAGAGAGAGUCUGACCUAUUGGAAUUCUUUUCCUUCAUUUUGCUUCUCUCUCUGGCUAACCACUGUCAAACCCAAAAUUAUUAUCAGAAAACUAGAACACAGACAAAUAAAAUCCAUAGGCAUACACAACUGAUUCUUUAACUCAACAAGCAAUAUUAAACAAACAGAUUCCAAACAGAUGCAUGUGUUUCACCUGCUGUACCAGCUUUAGCUGCACUUUCUUGUCUCCACUGAGUUCAAAUUCAUCAAAUUGUCUGAGACAUGAACGGAUCAGAAAUCACAAACAGUUUGAUAAAUAAAAAAGUAAUGGGAGUGUGCCAUGCUGAAAUUGAAAUACGCGUGAAUGAAUUCACAUUGUGAAGUAUAAACAAGUUAUGUUAAUCCUAUUAACUAUUCAAGUGACAUUGUCAUUACCAAAUUUGACAGCAGGCCUUAUAUAAGCUGCCAAAACAAUUGAUAAUAUUGCAAUGCACAUCCGAGUUAAACAAAAACGGAGAGAGAGUCUGACCUGAUGAACUUAUUAUUUUCCUUCGUUUUGCCUCUCCGUCUGGCUGCCCACCAUCAAACCCAAUAUUGUUAUCAUAAAACUAGAACACAAACAAAAAUAAAAUCCGUGGCAUACACAACUGAUUCUUAUGACUCAACACAGAAGAUUAAAUAAAAAAGAUUCCAUAUAGAUGCUUGUGUUUCACCUGUACCAUCGCUGCCUGAAAUUUGUUGUCUUCUUCGGGUUCAAGAUCCUUAAAUUGUCUAAGACAUGAAAGAAUCAGAAAUCAUAUACAGUUUGAUAACAAAACAUGUAAUGUGAUGUGACGUCAUGAAACUGAAAUUAUAGGGAGAUUUGAAACAUAAAAGUCUUGAAGGAACUCAUGGUGUGAAGCAGUAACCAAGUUCGAAUCCACCAGAAAUCUGAAUAUCAAUGUCACGACCAACAGAACAUAAAGUCUUGAUACACCUUUCCCCUGAACCGUCAUUGACAAUUUCUAAUGUUGUGAUCCACAGAGGUUGAAAUCCCCUGCCCCUGCUGCAAAAGAAAGUUUGCAGGAGACAAAAUCUUAAUUCCCCCAAAUGAACCAAAGACUCUGUUACAGUGUUGUCCAACUCAAGGAAACUUGUGAACUCCGGAAACUUGAAUAGAUUCUUUACGGUAAAGAGAAUGCGACCACUAGGAUCUGAAUCCAUCCCAAGAGAGAAGAUAUGAUAACCCCGCUCACUGUAGAUGCGGCGUAGAUAACAUCGUUUACGACGACAGCCCUCCCCACAAAAGAAGGAUAAGGCUUAGUACCAGUCAUAUCAUCAUCAACUGUAGGUACGUAAACUGGGUGCCAUGUUUCACUGGCAAUGUGAAAAAAGCACGAACUCAGAUGGUCCAAAGUCAUACAAUGAAAUUAGAAAAUACAACCGUAACAAACAGUCGAGCCCAUAACUCCACAUAGGAAGGUCCCGUUUUCUGACCAUAUUUUGGAAAAGGAUUGAGAGGCUCCCAAAUGUCCUUGGGAUUAUAACACUCAAACGAUGGAUUUGUUAUAAGGGGGAAGGAUGCUGGAUCAGUAAGAUGGUAAAGC